RNAcentral lists this ribosomal RNA (2888 nucleotides) under Neisseria gonorrhoeae. RNAcentral describes it as "bacterial LSU rRNA". It matches the Rfam family "Bacterial large subunit ribosomal RNA". Lineage: Bacteria; Pseudomonadati; Pseudomonadota; Betaproteobacteria; Neisseriales; Neisseriaceae. The record is from RNAcentral.
UCAAGUGAAUAAGUGCAUCAGGCGGAUGCCUUGGCGAUGAUAGGCGACGAAGGACGUGUAAGCCUGCGAAAAGCGCGGGGGAGCUGGCAAUAAAGCUAUGAUUCCGCGAUGUCCGAAUGGGGAAACCCACUGCAUUCUGUGCAGUAUCCUAAGUUGAAUACAUAGGCUUAGAGAAGCGAACCCGGAGAACUGAACCAUCUAAGUACCCGGAGGAAAAGAAAUCAACCGAGAUUCCGCAAGUAGUGGCGAGCGAACGCGGAGGAGCCUGUACGUAAUAACUGUCGAGAUAGAAGAACAAGCUGGGAAGCUUGACCAUAGCGGGUGACAGUCCCGUAUUCGAAAUCUCAACAGCGGUACUAAGCGUACGAAAAGUAGGGCGGGACACGUGAAAUCCUGUCUGAAUAUGGGGGGACCAUCCUCCAAGGCUAAAUACUCAUCAUCGACCGAUAGUGAACCAGUACCGUGAGGGAAAGGCGAAAAGAACCCCGGGAGGGGAGUGAAACAGAACCUGAAACCUGAUGCAUACAAACAGUGGGAGCGCCCUAGUGGUGUGACUGCGUACCUUUUGUAUAAUGGGUCAACGACUUACAUUCAGUAGCGAGCUUAACCGGAUAGGGGAGGCGUAGGGAAACCGAGUCUUAAUAGGGCGAUGAGUUGCUGGGUGUAGACCCGAAACCGAGUGAUCUAUCCAUGGCCAGGUUGAAGGUGCCGUAACAGGUACUGGAGGACCGAACCCACGCAUGUUGCAAAAUGCGGGGAUGAGCUGUGGGUAGGGGUGAAAGGCUAAACAAACUCGGAGAUAGCUGGUUCUCCCCGAAAACUAUUUAGGUAGUGCCUCGAGCAAGACACUGAUGGGGGUAAAGCACUGUUAUGGCUAGGGGGUUAUUGCAACUUACCAACCCAUGGCAAACUCAGAAUACCAUCAAGUGGUUCCUCGGGAGACAGACAGCGGGUGCUAACGUCCGUUGUCAAGAGGGAAACAACCCAGACCGCCGGCUAAGGUCCCAAAUGAUAGAUUAAGUGGUAAACGAAGUGGGAAGGCACAGACAGCCAGGAUGUUGGCUUAGAAGCAGCCAUCAUUUAAAGAAAGCGUAAUAGCUCACUGGUCGAGUCGUCCUGCGCGGAAGAUGUAACGGGGCUCAAAUCUAUAACCGAAGCUGCGGAUGCCGGUUUACCGGCAUGGUAGGGGAGCGUUCUGUAGGCUGAUGAAGGUGCAUUGUAAAGUGUGCUGGAGGUAUCAGAAGUGCGAAUGUUGACAUGAGUAGCGAUAAAGCGGGUGAAAAGCCCGCUCGCCGAAAGCCCAAGGUUUCCUACGCAACGUUCAUCGGCGUAGGGUAAGUCGGCCCCUAAGGCGAGGCAGAAAUGCGUAGUCGAUGGGAAACAGGUUAAUAUUCCUGUACUUGAUUCAAAUGCGAUGUGGGGACGGAGAAGGUUAGGUUGGCAAGCUGUUGGAAUAGCUUGUUUAAGCCGGUAGGUGGAAGACUUAGGCAAAUCCGGGUUUUCUUAACACCGAGAAGUGAUGACGAGUGUCUACGGACACGAAGCAACCGAUACCACGCUUCCAGGAAAAGCCACUAAGCUUCAGUUUGAAUCGAACCGUACCGCAAACCGACACAGGUGGGCAGGAUGAGAAUUCUAAGGCGCUUGAGAGAACUCGGGAGAAGGAACUCGGCAAAUUGAUACCGUAACUUCGGGAGAAGGUAUGCCCUCUAAGGUUAAGGACUUGCUCCGUAAGCCCCGGAGGGUCGCAGAGAAUAGGUGGCUGCGACUGUUUAUUAAAAACACAGCACUCUGCCAACACGAAAGUGGACGUAUAGGGUGUGACGCCUGCCCGGUGCCGGAAGGUUAAUUGAAGAUGUGCAAGCAUCGGAUCGAAGCCCCGGUAAACGGCGGCCGUAACUAUAACGGUCCUAAGGUAGCGAAAUUCCUUGUCGGGUAAGUUCCGACCCGCACGAAUGGCGUAACGAUGGCCACACUGUCUCCUCCCGAGACUCAGCGAAGUUGAAGUGGUUGUGAAGAUGCAAUCUACCCGCUGCUAGACGGAAAGACCCCGUGAACCUUUACUGUAGCUUUGCAUUGGACUUUGAAGUCACUUGUGUAGGAUAGGUGGGAGGCUUGGAAGCAGAGACGCCAGUCUCUGUGGAGUCGUCCUUGAAAUACCACCCUGGUGUCUUUGAGGUUCUAACCCAGACCCGUCAUCCGGGUCGGGGACCGUGCAUGGUAGGCAGUUUGACUGGGGCGGUCUCCUCCCAAAGCGUAACGGAGGAGUUCGAAGGUUACCUAGGUCCGGUCGGAAAUCGGACUGAUAGUGCAAUGGCAAAAGGUAGCUUAACUGCGAGACCGACAAGUCGGGCAGGUGCGAAAGCAGGACAUAGUGAUCCGGUGGUUCUGUAUGGAAGGGCCAUCGCUCAACGGAUAAAAGGUACUCCGGGGAUAACAGGCUGAUUCCGCCCAAGAGUUCAUAUCGACGGCGGAGUUUGGCACCUCGAUGUCGGCUCAUCACAUCCUGGGGCUGUAGUCGGUCCCAAGGGUAUGGCUGUUCGCCAUUUAAAGUGGUACGUGAGCUGGGUUUAAAACGUCGUGAGACAGUUUGGUCCCUAUCUGCAGUGGGCGUUGGAAGUUUGACGGGGGCUGCUCCUAGUACGAGAGGACCGGAGUGGACGAACCUCUGGUGUACCGGUUGUAACGCCAGUUGCAUAGCCGGGUAGCUAAGUUCGGAAGAGAUAAGCGCUGAAAGCAUCUAAGCGCGAAACUCGCCUGAAGAUGAGACUUCCCUUGCGGUUUAACCGCACUAAAGGGUCGUUCGAGACCAGGACGUUGAUAGGUGGGGUGUGGAAGCGCGGUAACGCGUGAAGCUAACCCAUACUAAUUGCCCGUGAGGCUUGACU